GACGAACGCUGGCGGCAUGCCUAAUACAUGCAAGUCGAGCGAACAGAUGAAGUGCUUGCACUUCUGACGUUAGCGGCGAACGGGUGAGUAACACGUAAGGAAUCUACCUAUAAGCGGGGGAUAACAUUCGGAAACGGGUGCUAAUACCGCAUAAUAUCUUCUUCCGCAUGGAAGAAGAUUGAAAGACGGCUCUGCUGUCACUUAUAGAUGACCUUGCGGUGCAUUAGGUAGUUGGUGGGGUAAUGGCCUACCAAGACGAUGAUGCAUAGCCGACCUGGGAGGGUGAUCGGCCACAUUGGGACUGAGACACGGCCCAAACUCCUACGGGAGGCAGCAGUAGGGAAUCGUCCGCAAUGGGCGAAAGCCUGACGGAGCAAUGCCGCGUGAGUGAAGAAGGCCUUCGGGUCGUAAAACUCUGUUAUAAGAGAAGAGCAAAUUGUAGAGUAACUGCUACAGUCUUGACGGUAUCUUAUCAGAAAGCCACGGCUAACUACGUGCCAGCAGCCGCGGUAA
Molecule: ribosomal RNA, 513 nt
Filed under: uncultured bacterium
Lineage: Bacteria
Description: partial 16S ribosomal RNA
Rfam family: Bacterial small subunit ribosomal RNA
Source: RNAcentral